GUAUUAUCCUUAAAGAAAGGAAAACAGGCAGCACACAUAUUAAAAUUGGAAGGACACAGAGAAGAUUACCAUGGCCCCUGCUCAAGGAUGACAUGCAAAUCCAUGCAGUGUUUCAUAUUUGG
RNAcentral lists this small nuclear RNA (122 nucleotides) under Spermophilus dauricus (Daurian ground squirrel). Lineage: Eukaryota; Metazoa; Chordata; Mammalia; Rodentia; Sciuridae. The record is from RNAcentral.